AAGAUUUUGUAUGAAGAUGAUCUAAGGGUAGAAGGCCUUCAAAUGUAGAGAUAGAAAAAAGAGUCAAUAAAGAUUUUGUUACUUGGUUUCCUACGCAGCUUAUGAACCCAGACAUUAUGAAUACUGUGCAUGAGGAUUUGAGAUACUUAGCAAGGGGUCCAUCACGAUAUGCCAAGAGGUUUUCUACAUUUAGUAUCAAUGGGUUCUCCUUUCGAACUACCAAUCGAGAUAAUGGGUUAAAGACCCAGAAUAGUGGAGUUUUCUUAAUGUCUUCAACUCCUUGUGUUGCUAGCGCUAGUGACGCUAAUGUUAAGAAUGCUGAUUUGUCAUAUUAUGGCAAAUUAGAAGAUAUUAUAGAACUAAAAUACAAUGGCCGAUUUUGGGUUACUUUAUUCAAAUGUAAAUGGGCUGACACCACUAGAGAAUGGGGCUGUAGAAAGGAUAGUUGAGGUUUUACUUCUGUUAAUUUUUUACGAGUAAUACACAGUGGUGACCGAGAGGAGGAUGAUCCAUAUAUUGAAGCCUCAGAAGCUCGAAUGGUGUAUUUUGUCAAUGAUGAAGUGAAUAAAGAUUGGAGUGUUGUCGUGCAUUUGAAGCCAAGAGACUCAUAUGAUAUGGGGGAAAUGAAGAUGAUGAAGCAUGCGAGAAUAAGCCAUGGUUAGAGCAAAACUUGGAUUCUUUAUUUGAAAAUGGUGAUAAUUUAUCAUUGUUAAGAGAUGAGGUAGAUGAUGAACUACUAGAUGAUGACAUUGGAGAAGACGAACACAUGUCAGAAUAGUUAAUAUGCCAAAGCAAAAGAGGUA
Non-coding RNA from Arachis ipaensis, 803 nucleotides. NCBI's taxonomy places the organism in Eukaryota, Viridiplantae, Streptophyta, Magnoliopsida, Fabales, Fabaceae. The record is from RefSeq and is a predicted model, not a curated record.